Molecule: long non-coding RNA, 1749 nt
Organism: Ictalurus punctatus (channel catfish)
Lineage: Eukaryota; Metazoa; Chordata; Actinopteri; Siluriformes; Ictaluridae
Source: Ensembl
UUUCAGUGUUUAUCAUAGUUUUGUUCUUUAUUUAUUUGGCAAGCAACAUUUUCAUUUAAACAUGAAGUGCAUACAUUAGAUUGGUGUGUUGAGGCUGAGAACAGUGUGUGUGUGUGUGUGUGUGUGUGUGUGUGUAAAUGAGGGUGUGGCAGUGUUACAGCGCGCCCCGCUGGCACCGACACUGAACCGAUUCAACAUUGAUGAGAUCAUUUUACGCUUUUUUCAAAUUUUAAUUUUUUUUUAAACUCGUACUGGAAUGUUUCAUGCAGAAAAAAGUCUUGCAUACAAAUUUUACAGACGUAAAUAAAAACGAUUCAGAUCUCGGUGUCAUGCAGCUUUGUGUCCUCGCGUUAGAUUUUACACGGCUAACAUUAUUAGCAUUACACUCGGUACUUGAGUGGCUUUACACCCUUUAUAUCCACUGAGAGAACUGGCAGGAUGUAGCUUUAUGCUAAUCGCUAAAUGCUAGAUGCUAGCUGCUCCAGAUGUUUAUUAGUUGUUGGUUUUUUUUAGCUUAUUUGUGCUUCAUGACUUCACGCAAACCUGAAAACCCGAUUAAAGGGAUAGUUAAACCAUGGUCAAGGUCAAGCUAACACGGCUAGCAAUUAAUAAAGGCUCAUUAUGAACGGUUAUGCUAAACGACAACAUGCUAACUGGCAGUGCUAGCUGUCAUUUGUUUUAGCCUAUAAAGCUUUUACACACGACUGAGCUAACUGGACUGGACUGAGUUCAGCUACAUUAGCAUGCAUUAGCAUCAUGUUACUAGCAUUAGCAUUUGUUCGCCAUUUUUAGCCUUUGCUAACGUUUCACAAGGUUGAAAUAUCCCUUUAAGAUAAGAGGUAAAUGGACUGAGGCAGCUGCAUUAGCAUCGUGUUGUUAGCGGGUGCAUUUCUCGUCACAUUCCCUUUGCUAACAUUUCUGUUUGAUGUUGUUUAUUGUUUUUGUCAUUUAGUACACAUCAUGAUUAUAAUGAAAUAAUUAAUCCUACAGUCUUAUGCUAACAUGGCUAGUGAUUUUUAUUCAAGCUAAUUCACAAAGGUGAUGCUAGGUAAGUCGCAGUGUUAGCUUUUGUCCAUCGUUACCCUUGGUUUAAAGAUGAAGUGUCUCUUUAACAUGCAGCGUGAGGUUAGCUACAUUAGCAUCUCGUUGUUAGCGUUAGAAGUGAAGAUCGUUAACGUUUCUGAUGCUCAUUAACACUUCCGUACGCUUGCAUAUAAAUUCCGUAUGUGGAAAGAAAAGAAGAAAGAGUUCAGAUAAAUAUGUACAGCUCGUGUUAAUACAAUUCUACUGUGUGACUUAUACAUUUAUUCAUGCUGUGCUCUUAUAUUGGAUAUUAUAUAUUUAUUUUAUUUCAUUUAUUUAUUAGUCCGAGCCCCUGCUGUGCGUUCAGUCCGUACAUCUCUGUACCUCAGGGCACUAUUCAGGGCUCUUCGCUGAAAUGAAACGCUGCCAUGUGACGAUUCUGUGCAAAAACACGUCCGUGUGCUCGUCUGUUACAGCCUGGGAGGAAGGAGGGAUGGAUCUCAGGGACCAGGUGGAGAUAAAUCAGGUGGAGAUAAAAAAGGUGGAGAUCUUCUCCUUGGUGAAGGUAUAUCAACUGGAGACAAACCAGGUGAAGGUAAAUCAGGUGAAGGUCUUCUCCAUGGUGAAGCUUCAGAGAAUUUAUGGCCCUGAAAAUCAAUCCACGGUCAGACGGAUUAAUUUAUCAUGUACAAAUAGUUUAUUUGAUAAUUAUUAUAUGUAUUUUCA